ACAUAACUGAUGCCUCCGCGUAUCGACUUUGUGCGCAUUUUAGCUAUUAUGUGUUCUUUUAAUUUAAAUGAUUCUUUUUAAGAUUCAUCUUAUUAAAAAUUUGCCUCGGCAUAAUUUUUUUUGAUGACCUUGUUACUUUGAGUAAAUUAGAGUGUUCAAAGCAAACAGAUAUAGCAUUUGUGCGUUUGAAUACUACAGCAUGGAAUAACAAAAUUGAACAAGUCAGAAUUUUUUUGUUCUUUUUUCUUAUUUUGGCUUAGUUACGAUUAAUAGGAGUAGCUUGGGGGGCAUUUGUAUUCAGAUGUCAGAGGUGAAAUUCUUAGAUUUUCUGGAGACAAACAACUGCGAAAGCAUUUGCCUAAAAUACUUCCAUUAAUCAAGAACGAAAGUUAAGGGAGUGAAGACGAUCAGAUACCGUCGUAAUCUUAACCAUAAACUAUGCCGACUAGGCUUUGGAUGAAAGAUUUUAAAAUAAGAGUUUUUCUUUUCUCUCCGGAGAUUAGAACUCUUAGAUUGCUUCCUUCAGUGCCUUAUGAGAAAUCAAAGUCUUUGGGUUCUGGGGCGAGUAUUCGCGCAAGCGAGAAAGUUAAAAGAAUUGACGGAAGGGCACCACCAGGCGUGGAGCUUGCGGCUUAAUUUGACUCAACACGGGAAAACUCACUAGUUUAAGACAAGAGUAGGAUUGACAGAUUAAUAGCUCUUUCUUGAUUUCUUGGAUGGUGAUGCAUGGCCGUUUUUAGUUCGUGAAUAUGAUUUGUCUGGUUAAUUCCGAUAACGAACGAGAUCUUAACCUGCUAAUUAGCGGCAAAUACGAUAUAUUCUUAUGUAGAAUUGAAUAUAGUGGAUUUGUUGGAUUUUGAAGAAAAUAUUGGAAUUACGUUAAAUGUGAUUCCUUUCCCUUUUCUACUUAAUUUACAUUUCCAUCUAUUUCUUUUUUGCGUAUGAAUGUAUUUGCUUGAUUGUAAAGCUUCUUAGAGGAACGAUGUGUG
RNAcentral lists this ribosomal RNA (989 nucleotides) under Plasmodium knowlesi. Its description in RNAcentral is "SSU rRNA". It matches the Rfam family "Eukaryotic small subunit ribosomal RNA", at positions 638 to 1428 of the family's 1831-position model. The record is from RNAcentral. Lineage: Eukaryota; Apicomplexa; Aconoidasida; Haemosporida; Plasmodiidae.